GGUGGAAAUGACGAAAACUAUUUCAAGGACUUCUGUUCGUGGCAAAGUAACAUAUUCAACAAGUACUCAAAACAUCACCUUUCUCGUGGCAAGGAAUAAACACCUAAGAAUUCUUAAACAAAGACGACAGAGGUUAUUGAAUGUUAUUAUAAGAUGCAUGUUGCUGUACAAGUUGCAUAUAUCAUUAAAAAGGAAACUUAAGACCUUGGAAAAGACUUUUUACAAACUAUUUUUAAACUAAGAAGACAAAGUUGCAUGAUAUGUCGAAAAGUGAAGGACGAAAACGCUGAUCGAUGCUGUGGGACUGCUUUCUUGGGUGUAUUUUUGUGAA
Long non-coding RNA from Magallana angulata, 331 nucleotides. RefSeq lists it as uncharacterized. Lineage: Eukaryota; Metazoa; Mollusca; Bivalvia; Ostreida; Ostreidae. The transcript is spliced from 3 exons. The record is from RefSeq and is a predicted model, not a curated record.